Molecule: ribosomal RNA, 1467 nt
Filed under: uncultured bacterium
Lineage: Bacteria
Description: bacterial SSU rRNA
Rfam family: Bacterial small subunit ribosomal RNA
Source: RNAcentral
AACGAACGCUGGCGGCGCGUCUUAAGCAUGCAAGUCGAACGGCAAGAUAGGAGCUUGCUUCUAUCCUAGAGUGGCGGACUGGUGAGUAACACGUGGGUGAUGUACCCUUUAGAUGGGGAUAGCCAGUAGAAAUAUUGGAUAAUACCGAAUAAUCUUGCUUUUUUAGAGUAAAGUAAGGAAAGGAGCUUCGGCUUCGCUGAAGGAACAGCCCGCGCACUAUUAGCUAGUUGGUGAGGUAAAGGCCCACCAAGGCAACGAUAGUUAUCCGGCCUAAGAGGGUGAACGGACACAUUGGGACUGAGAUACGGCCCAGACUCCUACGGGAGGCAGCAGCUAAGAAUAUUCCGCAAUGGAGGAAACUCUGACGGAGCGACGCCGCGUGGAUGAUGAAGGUCGGAAGAUUGUAAAAUCCUUUUAUUAAUGAGGAAUAAUACGGACAGGUAAUGGUCUGUAGAUGACUGUAGUUAAUGAAUAAAGGGCGGCUAAUUACGUGCCAGCAGCCGCGGUAACACGUAAGCCCUUAGCGUUGUUCGGAAUUAUUGGGCGUAAAGGGCAUGUAGGCGGUUCUGCAAGCUUGGUGUGAAAUGCCGGGGCUUAACUCCGGCACUGCGUUGAGAACUGUAGAACUAGAGUAACUGAGGGGCAGCCGGAAUUCCAGGUGUAGGGGUGAAUUUUGUAGAUAUCUGGAAGAACACCAAUGGCGAAGGCAGGCUACCAGCAGAUUACUGACGCUGAGGUGCGAAGGUGCGGGGAGCAAACAGGAUUAGAUACCCUGGUAGUCCGCACAGUCAACGAUGUACACUAGGUGUCUGCACAUGAGUGUGGGUGCCAAAGCAAACGCGAUAAGUGUACCGCCUGGGGAGUAUGCCCGCAAGGGUGAAACUCAAAGGAAUUGACGGGGGCCCGCACAAGCGGUGGAGCAUGUGGUUUAAUUCGAUGGUACGCGAGGAACCUUACCUGGGUUUGACAUACAGAGGAAUUAUCUAGAGAUAGGUAAGCGUAGCAAUACGUCUCUGAACAGGUGCUGCAUGGCUGUCGUCAGCUCGUGCCGUGAGGUGUUGGGUUAAGUCCCGCAACGAGCGCAACCCCUACUGCCAGUUACUAGCAGGUAAUGCUGAGGACUCUGGCGGAACUGCCGGUGACAAACCGGAGGAAGGUGGGGAUGACGUCAAGUCAUCAUGGCCCUUAUGUCCAGGGCUACACACGUGCUACAAUGGUUGAUACAGAGUGAUGCCAAGGGGCGACCUGGAGCAAAACGCAGAAAAUCAAUCGUAGUUCGGAUUGGAGUCUGAAACCCGACUCCAUGAAGUUGGAAUCGCUAGUAAUCGCAUAUCAGCACGAUGCGGUGAAUACGUUCCCGGGCCUUGUACACACCCCCCGUCACACCAUCCGAGUGGGGGGUACCCGAAGCCGGUUGUCUAACCGCAAGGAGGACGCUGUCUAAGGUACGCCUCGUGAGGGGGGUGA